RNAcentral lists this ribosomal RNA (465 nucleotides) under Vreelandella stevensii. Its description in RNAcentral is "partial 16S ribosomal RNA". It matches the Rfam family "Bacterial small subunit ribosomal RNA", at positions 338 to 795 of the family's 1533-position model. The record is from RNAcentral. Lineage: Bacteria; Pseudomonadati; Pseudomonadota; Gammaproteobacteria; Oceanospirillales; Halomonadaceae.
CCUACGGGAUGCUGCAGUGGGGAAUAUUGGACAAUGGGCGAAAGCCUGAUCCAGCCAUGCCGCGUGUGUGAAGAAGGCCUUCGGGUUGUAAAGCACUUUCAGUGGGGAAGAAAGCCUUGGGGCUAAUACCCUCGAGGAAGGACAUCACCCACAGAAGAAGCACCGGCUAACUCCGUGCCAGCAGCCGCGGUAAUACGGAGGGUGCGAGCGUGAAUCGGAAUUACUGGGCGUAAAGCGCGCGUAGGCGGUCUGAUAAGCCGGUUGUGAAAGCCCCGGGCUCAACCUGGGAACGGCAUCCGGAACUGUCAGGCUAGAGUGCAGGAGAGGAAGGUAGAAUUCCCGGUGUAGCGGUGAAAUGCGUAGAGAUCGGGAGGAAUACCAGUGGCGAAGGCGGCCUUCUGGACUGACACUGACGCUGAGGUGCGAAAGCGUGGGUAGCAAACAGGAUUAGAUACCCGUGUAGUC